AAUGGGCGCAAGCCUGAUCCAGCCAUGCCGCGUGAGUGAUGAAGGCCCUAAGGUCGUAAAGCUCUUUCGCCUGUGAAGAUAAUGACGGUAGCAGGUAAAGAAACCCCGGCUAACUCCGUGCCAGCAGCCGCGGUAAUACGGAGGGGGUUAGCGUUGUUCGGAAUUACUGGGCGUAAAGCGCGCGUAGGCGGAUUAGUCAGUCAGAGGUGAAAUCCCAGGGCUCAACCCUGGAACUGCCUUUGAUACUGCUAGUCUUGAGUUCGAGAGAGGUAAGUGGAAUUCCGAGUGUAGAGGUGAAAUUCGUAGAUAUUCGGAGGAACACCAGUGGCGAAGGCGGCUUACUGGCUCGAUACUGACGCUGAGGUGCGAAAGUGUGGGGAGCAAACAGGAUU
Molecule: ribosomal RNA, 392 nt
Filed under: uncultured Gammaproteobacteria bacterium
Lineage: Bacteria; Pseudomonadati; Pseudomonadota; Gammaproteobacteria
Description: bacterial SSU rRNA
Rfam family: Bacterial small subunit ribosomal RNA
Source: RNAcentral